Molecule: non-coding RNA, 2017 nt
Organism: Misgurnus anguillicaudatus (oriental weatherfish)
Lineage: Eukaryota; Metazoa; Chordata; Actinopteri; Cypriniformes; Cobitidae
Source: RefSeq, a predicted model, not a curated record
CUUCUCUGUUUUCAAUAUUGUUGAAAUGGCUGCUGAGCAAGACAGAGGGAGAGCAGAGGGUGUUAUUUUCAUAGCAGACAUGCUUCUUGCUCAAAUCAAGGGCAGAGGAACCCAAGGGCAAAGCAACAGCCAUUAAAGGGAGUACAUUUAAUGUCAGAUAGGUGGAGAAAAUGCUGAAGGACGUCCACUACUAAAAAGCAGCAGAAGUGAAGAGAUGCAAAGCUUCAGCUACAGUCUGUUUAUUGCCUACAGUGAGACCUCCACAUUUCUGCACUUGUGAUCAUGCAAACAUCCAGUGUAGAGCACUUCACCUGCCCGGCAUGUACACCCAACAAUGCUCGCUCUUUGUGCAGAUGGCAACAGAAAAACCUACAGAUUCCGUCAGUCAAAAGAAAGGAGCUUCAAGCAGCCACAAACGGAGAGUUCUUUUGAACAGAUAUUGCUUGCAAGUAUUGGCCAUACCUUGAGAAGGCGUCAGUCUCCAUGUUGGAACUCAGACCUUUACUGCAGAUGAGACCUUUCCUUUCUGUCAUGCAUGCCAAGGCUCAUUCAACCAAGUGUCAGGUGUCACACAUUUGUUAGAUAAUCUGGCAAAAAUCAGGAAGGUGCUGGUACAACUGCAGUUGAGGGGGUCAAAAUGGUCAACAGCUACCUGUCUCGUUGUGGCCUCACAACCAACCAGGAAUGACAUGCUAACUGUCCAUGCUAUUGGGUGGAACCAACGGAAGCAAGAAGGCCUUCAGCAUUAUCCAGCAGAUACAUCAAGAAAGGCUGAGUCUCAGAGACGGGAAGAUUUGAGCAGUGAACUGGGGUGUCCUGAGAACAUUGUGAAUCAGUGGGUACAAGAUGUCAGACAAAAGGCUACUGAUGGAUUUGGUAGGUACCAGAUGUGAUGACCUACACAACCUUCAGAAAUGAAUUGAACAAAUGUUUCUUAGUCUUCAUCGAAAAGCCAGCCUUUAUAAUCACACUGAAUCCAGCAACACCCUCACCAAGAAGAUUUCAAAAGUGCGCCUUCAAGAAGCAAAGAUCAUUGUGAUGAGGGACACCACUGCACCGCACCUAUCUCAGAAGCCUGGCUAGGAACAUCAGGAAAAUGAUAUCAGAAAUGUCUUCAGGCAAAAACAGUGGCAGUUUAAGUGAAGAGUGUCAUCGCUGGCUACUGUGUCGUCUUCAGAAAAGGCUUGCAGAUGUAGAGAAGAAGUUCCAAGUUUGCUCAAGUUACAGCCAGGCUUUAGGACAGUGUUCUUCACUCCCAACCCUGGAGAGCCGGUGUCCUGCAGACUUUAGGUCCAACCUUAAUCAAACACACAAUGUCUUCAUGAUCUCUAGAAAAUCACAGGUAUGCGUGUGUUUGAUUAAGGUUGGAGCUAAGCUCUGCAGGACACCAGCUCUCCAGGAUAGAGAGUGAAGAACACUGCUUUAGGACCAAAUGCUGUUUCUCUGCUGGAGGAUGAGCCUGAGGAGAUACUGGAGGACCACAAAGAGCUGGAUUAUGAGAGUUCAGAUGACAUUUUGGAUUUGGAACUCUGAACUGGUGUAUGCAUUUAGACUGUGUGUCACACUGAACUGCAGCAGGUUAGCUAUUAGGUUUCCCCUCCACCUCCGAUGUUUCACAGACUACUCCUACAUUCAACUGUGUUGCUACAACUUGCAAAUGCCACAAUCCUCUUGCAGUGGUUACUUCACCAAACUGUGCCCAUAUCAUCUUGUCAACAUAAUGACAUGUACUGUAGAAAAAUGUGCAAAUCUAUUUUGCCUGUGUUACAUAUGUUACUAUUAUUGUUAUAUAGUUUUAUACUGUAUAAAGUUUUUUUCACAGUGAUUGUGGAUACGUUUGGAGUGAACUAACUGUAUGUCAUUAGAUGAAAUACUUUACAUAAAUGACUGAUCAAUAGCCUACCCAUAUUUGAUGCAUGAGUUAAUACUGUUGUUACCUUUUCAAUGAAAGGAAAUGUUUUACAAUGCCAUUUUCUUGAGGUAAUUAUUAAACUGUUUCAUAUAUGUACCUGCAAAA